RNAcentral lists this long non-coding RNA (1278 nucleotides) under Homo sapiens (human). RNAcentral describes it as "HSALNT0128197". The record is from RNAcentral. Lineage: Eukaryota; Metazoa; Chordata; Mammalia; Primates; Hominidae.
CUCAAUCCUGGCUGCAUAUUGGAAUCACCUGCAGAGGCUUUAGAACCUGUUGGAUCCCGCCUCCAGAGAUUCUGACUUGACUUGAUUAGCUGAAGGCCCAGGCACUGGGAGUUUUAUAAAGCUCCCCAGGUGACUGUAUUGUAAGUUGCUAGGGGCUGACGUUUAAAGGCCUAACAUGUGGUGGGGGUUGGGGGGUGGCGGGAGGAAGGUGACGAGAGAAAGCGCUUGCUGUUAAAUGAAUCGGUGAAUCUCUAACUGAUGGAAUAAAGGUAGGGGAAAUAAUUUUGAGUGUAGGAAACAUAUGAUAGGGGUCAAUGAAAGAAGAAACUUCUUUCCAGAACUGCCCAUCUCCGUCCUCCCUCUGCACAGCUGGGCCUGAGCUGCACCCUUAAACCAUCUGUGCUUGGUGGCCUGGAAUCUAGAAAGCGCGGUGCCUACCUGCAAUGGAGGUUUGGUGUUAAGGACGAGAUUUAUAUGAGAGAAGAUAAAGUGGUGACUAAAUACUGCGUCUUCAACUGAUAGAUCCAGGUGAACACACUGGGAUUCAUCACGGAAAGAACUCAACCCAUGGAGAAUGAAGAGGAGCAAGACAGGAAAAUCACCCAUCUGGGAAUGGCAUGGAGCCAGGGGAGGCUCCCCAACCAUGGGGAAAUGGUGCUCACCAUUGGCCAGCCCCACCAAAAGCCAAACUAUAAGGAGGCAUCCAGCCAAACAGCCUCUUCAGUCUUGGAACAGCUUGGAAAAUGAAUCUGGAAGGACAAAUAGGUGAUCUACAGCAUAAUCUCCAUUAUAGUGUACUUUCUCUUCAUCCGGUUGAUUUGGUUUGGAUCUGUGUCCCCACCCAAAUCUCAUGUUGAACUGUAAUCUCCAGUGUUGGAGGUGGGGCCUCGUGGGAGGUGUUUGGAUCAUGAAGGCAGAUUCCUUAUGAAUGAUUUGGGCCAUCCCUUUGGUGAUGAGUGAGCUCUUGCUCUGAGUUGACAGGAGAUCUGGUCAUUCAAAAGUGUGUGACAUGCUCCCUGCCUCCACCUGCUCUUGCUCAUGCUUUUGCCAUGUGACUUGCCUGCCCCUUGUUCGCCUUCUGCCAUGAUUGUAAGCUUCCAGAAGCCUCCCUGGAAGCUGAGUAGUUGCCAGCACCAUGCUUCCUGUAAAGUCUGAAGAACUGUGAAUGAAUUAAACUUCUUUUCUUUAUAAAUUACUUUAUAAAUGGUAAAGGUAUUUCUUUACAGUAAUGCAAGAAUGCCCUAAUACACAGGUCCGAGAUCAAAGGAUAAAAAAUUA